GUUCAAAACUUGGCGCUACUACACGCUUUAGCUUAAACAAUUACAUAACCAUUAAGAAAACAAAGCAGUAGCUACACUUUAAAAAAGAACAAAAUAAAAGAGAAUAUCAGAGGCAUAUACAAAAAGAUUCCUUAUUCUACAUUCGCUCAUCCAUCAAACAGUCACAAAAGAAAUAAAUAAAUUAAAAAACACAGUCACAAGUGUUUACAAAGAGAACGAGAUAGCUAGAGAGAAGAGGAACGGUACGUUUUCCACCGCCCAAGACUCUGUGGACGGGUUUCUCUCUUCCAAAGAGAAGAAAUAUCUUCGUUUUGACGGCAUCGAACUUGUCAUCAUCGGAAUCAGAGGAAGAGGAAGAAGAAUCGUGACCGUGGAUCUUCUCGGCAAUCCUGUCCAUCAGCGAUUCAAAGGCUGAUUCGGGCUCUGCUGCAUGGUCCGCCAUAUAUAUUCGCCGCGAAAAAAGAAGAGAAAUUUGUGUGCCUAUUGGAUAGAGAAAGCUUUGCUGCGAGUGCCGAGCAAUGCGAGGGGAAUUCAAUUUUCAUGUUUUCUACUAUACGAGGCUUUGACGAAGAGAGAGCACGAAUGGCAAUGGUACCUCAGCGAAAUGAAAUCUGAGCCGUUGAGAGCUUUACUGCUUG
Molecule: unclassified non-coding RNA, 638 nt
Filed under: Hevea brasiliensis (rubber tree)
Lineage: Eukaryota; Viridiplantae; Streptophyta; Magnoliopsida; Malpighiales; Euphorbiaceae
Source: RNAcentral